Molecule: ribosomal RNA, 428 nt
Filed under: uncultured Gammaproteobacteria bacterium
Lineage: Bacteria; Pseudomonadati; Pseudomonadota; Gammaproteobacteria
Description: bacterial SSU rRNA
Rfam family: Bacterial small subunit ribosomal RNA
Source: RNAcentral
UGGGGAAUAUUGGACAAUGGGGGCAACCCUGAUCCAGCCAUGCCGCGUGUGUGAAGAAGGCCCUAGGGUUGUAAAGCACUUUCAGUGGGGAGAAAGGUGGCUUACCUAAUACGUGAGUCAAUUGAUGUUACCCACAGAAGAAGCACCGGCUAACUCCGUGCCAGCAGCCGCGGUAAUACGGAGGGUGCAAGCGUUAAUCGGAAUUACUGGGCGUAAAGCGCACGUAGGCGGUUUGGUAAGCUAGCCGUGAAAGCCCCGGGCUUAACCUGGGAAUUGCGGUUAGAACUGCCAAGCUAGAGUAUGGUAGAGGGGUGUGGAAUUUCAGGUGUAGCGGUGAAAUGCGUAGAUAUCUGAAGGAACACCAGUGGCGAAGGCGACACCCUGGACCAAUACUGACGCUGAGGUGCGAAAGCGUGGGGAGCAAAACA